RNAcentral lists this ribosomal RNA (427 nucleotides) under uncultured bacterium. RNAcentral's name for it is "partial 16S ribosomal RNA". It matches the Rfam family "Bacterial small subunit ribosomal RNA", at positions 355 to 774 of the family's 1533-position model. The record is from RNAcentral.
UGGGGAAUAUUGGACAAUGGGGGCAACCCUGAUCCAGCCAUGCCGCGUGUGUGAAGAAGGCCUUUUGGUUGUAAAGCACUUUAAGCAGUGAAGAAGACUCCAUGGUUAAUACCCAUGGACGAUGACAUUAGCUGCAGAAUAAGCACCGGCUAACUCUGUGCCAGCAGCCGCGGUAAUACAGAGGGUGCAAGCGUUAAUCGGAAUUACUGGGCGUAAAGCGAGCGUAGGUGGCUUGAUAAGUCAGAUGUGAAAGCCCCGGGCUUAACCUGGGAACGGCAUCUGAUGCUGUUAGGCUAGAGUAGGUGAGAGGAAGGUAGAAUUCCAGGUGUAGCGGUGAAAUGCGUAGAGAUCUGGAGGAAUACCGAUGGCGAAGGCAGCCUUCUGGCAUCAUACUGACACUGAGGUUCGAAAGCGGGGGUAGCAAACA